RNAcentral lists this ribosomal RNA (440 nucleotides) under uncultured bacterium. RNAcentral's name for it is "partial 16S ribosomal RNA". It matches the Rfam family "Bacterial small subunit ribosomal RNA", at positions 338 to 795 of the family's 1533-position model. The record is from RNAcentral.
CCUACGGGUGGCAGCAGUAGGGAAUAUUGCUCAAUGGGGGAAACCCUGAAGCAGCAACGCCGCGUGGAGGAUGAAGGUUUUAGGAAUGUAAAAUCCUUUUGUUAGAGAAGAUAAUGACGGUAUCUAACGACUAAGUACCGGCUAACUCCGUGCCAGCAGCCGCGGCAAUACGGAGGGUGCAAGCGUUACACGGAAUCACUGGGCGUAAAGAGCGCGUAGGCGGGAUAGCAAGUCAGAUGUGAAACCCUAUGGCUUAACCAUAGAACUGCAGUUGAAACUGUUAUUCUAGAGUAUGGGAGAGGUAGGUGGAAUUCGUGGUGUAGGGGUAAAAUCCGUAGAGAUCAAGAGGAAUACUCAUUGCGAAGGCGACCUGCUAGAACAUAACUGACGCUGAUGCGCGAAAGCGUGGGGAGCAAACAGGAUUAGAUACCCCAGUAGUC